AAAACAUUUUUUUUUAUUUUCGUGUACAUCAUCUCAAGAUAACAGAAAUUGUUUAAAUUACACUAUUAACUCAUCAUGCCCAAACUUGUGGGGCUUCUUUAUGUAGAAAAUCUUGAUAUCUUGAUAUCUGUCUGUGAGUUAGUUGAUGAAGAGACAAAAUAUAACAUGAAAGAUAAAUAUUUGAAUCAGGCUUUCUGCACUAGGCACGACUAGGUUUGCAUGGUGGGAUACAGGAC
Molecule: long non-coding RNA, 236 nt
Filed under: Mytilus galloprovincialis (Mediterranean mussel)
Lineage: Eukaryota; Metazoa; Mollusca; Bivalvia; Mytilida; Mytilidae
Source: RNAcentral